RNAcentral lists this ribosomal RNA (253 nucleotides) under uncultured bacterium. RNAcentral's name for it is "partial 16S ribosomal RNA". It matches the Rfam family "Bacterial small subunit ribosomal RNA", at positions 524 to 776 of the family's 1533-position model. The record is from RNAcentral.
UACGUAGGUGGCAAGCGUUGUCCGGAUUUACUGGGCGUAAAGGGCUGGUAGGCGGCCAACUAAGUCGGAUGUGAAAUCCCCAGGCUUAACCUGGGAACUGCAUCCGAUACUGGUCGGCUUGAAUCCGGGAGAGGGAUGCAGAAUUCCAGGUGUAGCGGUGAAAUGCGUAGAUAUCUGGAGGAAUACCGGUGGCGAAGGCGGCAUCCUGGACCGGCAUUGACGCUGAACAGCGAAAGCUAGGGGAGCAAACGGG